UAUCCAAACCCCAACAUGCCAAAUGCUAACUAUCCAAACCCCAACAUGCCAAAUGCUAACUAUCCAAACCCCAACAUGCCAAAUGCUAACUAUCCAAACCCCAACAUGCCAAAUGCUAACUAUCCAAACCCCAACAUGCCAAAUGCUAACUAUCCAAACCCCAACAUGCCAAAUGCUAACUAUCCAAACCCCAACAUGCCAAAUGCUAACUAUCCAAAUGCCAACAUGCCAAAUGCUAACUAUCCAAAUGCCAACAUGCCAAUGUAUAAUUUGUCUUUACACAAUACUCAACUACAUGCGGUGCCACACAUAAUGCCCCCUGCUCAGCAAAAUAUGAACGCCUUUUCGAAUAACUGGAAAAAUAUUAUAAACCCUAUCAAAGCUUGUAAGAUAAAACAAAUGUUUGAUGAUAGAGAGUUUUUAGCUACUCAUGCUAUGGGAUUAAAUUUAGAUUUUAAUAAUAGAUAUAUGAUUUUAGAUGAAGAAACUGAUCUUUUAAAUUUUACGGCUAUUGAAAAAUCUGAGUUCUGUUCAAGAAAUUGUUUAUCAAAAAAAUGUAACCCAAUCACAUUUAAACUAGUUAGUCCUGGAAGACCAUUAACGAAACCUGACGUUCUUGUUGAAAAAGAUUGUACAUGUACAAUGCUUUGUUUAGAUAGACCAACCAUAAAAUUAUACGAUGUGGUGAAUAAUAAUGAAAAAAAAUUAAUUGGAACAAUAAAAAACCCAUUUAGUUGUUGCUUUUAUAAUUUUAAAUUAUUAGAUUCAUCUAAUAAAAAAGUUAUAUAUAUGAAUGAAUCAUGUUGUCAAUUGAGUAUUCUAUUUCCAUGUCCUUUUGGUCCUUGUAAAACCAGUAAUUUCUUUUUAUAUGAUGCAAAAACUAAUUAUGAAGUUGCACAUAUACAAAAAAAAGUACCAUUUAUAAGAAUGAUAAAAGAAGACAUCGACAAUUACAAUCUUCAGUUCGAAAAAGUAGUAAACCCCGAAUGGAAAAUGAUGCUUUUGGCAUUAGUGUUAUAUUUAGAUUAUAUGUAUUAUGAUAUGCACUAAUUAGAACUAGUUAGUAUAUACAAAUAGAAACAUGACAGGUAAAUAUCACAGGCAAAACGUGAAGAAUAAAUAAAUGAACAUUUUAGGAAUACA
Molecule: long non-coding RNA, 1143 nt
Filed under: Piliocolobus tephrosceles (Ugandan red Colobus)
Lineage: Eukaryota; Metazoa; Chordata; Mammalia; Primates; Cercopithecidae
Description: lncRNA (ENSPTEG00000016160.1)
Source: RNAcentral